Molecule: long non-coding RNA, 2363 nt
Filed under: Pogona vitticeps (central bearded dragon)
Lineage: Eukaryota; Metazoa; Chordata; Lepidosauria; Squamata; Agamidae
Description: lncRNA (ENSPVIG00000002850.1)
Source: RNAcentral
AAAGAAAGAAAGAAAGAAAGAAAGAAAGAAAGAAAGAAAGAAAGAAAGAAAGAAAGAAAGAAAAAGAAUGGCACAUUACUGUCAGUGAUCUUAUCGGCCAAACUGUCUCUGUCUUUUCUCAUUGAUUAACACAUGUAGAAGUUUGCUUCUUGACAAACAGAUGGAUAAGAAAGUGACUACAUGUAUUAUUUCUAUGUGGGCUAGAGACCUCCUGUGUUUUUAAAUUAAGAUUAGUAAUCCAACCAUCCAUGAGCCUAGGAGCAAGGUAAAACCCAGGAAAUUUUAAUGUUUGGUAAUUCUGUUUACAUGUUUUCCCAUCAGGUACAACUUCAGGAUACCUUUACUCCAUCUGUAUAAUACUUCUGUUUUAUUCCAAAGUGGUCCAAAUUUAGGCACUGGGAGUUUCCUUUGGUGUUCCAUCUAUUGUGAAGAAGACAAGAACAGAGGAUUUGAUUCCAUAUUUGGAGGGCUAUAUGUAAAACUGGGACUCAGGUCAAGUACAUGAACCAGGCUGAUAUGGCUUUUAACAGCAAACCCAGGACUUUUUGUAGCUCCCACCAGCAAAUGUUCGCAGACACAAUUCCUUGCUCUUUUUCUACUUUUUUUCAUAGACUCAGACUGCCCAACCUCAUUCUCUUGACCUCCCACACUGAACUGUUGCAGGUGUUAUUCUUUCAAACUGAAUUAUGGCUUGUCUUGCUAUUCCUCUACUAUUGUUUUGCUUCAGGGAACUUACAACAAAAGUUUACUUAUGGUCUGGUGAUUUUUUUAAGUUCCAUUGUUGCUGUUACAGUAAAUGAUUUUUUUUUUGUUGGCACCGUUUCAUUAAAAACAUUGCUCGUGAUAAGAGGCGUAAAAGCCUUCCUUAAGAGCACUCAGACUUAAAUUACACAACAGCACUUUCAAACUGCCUCCCAAAUACUCUGCAUGUCUACUCAGAAAUAAGCAGUGCCAACGUGUCUGCACAGAAGUAACUGGAGCAAGCCUUCACAUGUCUACUCAGAAGCAAGCAGGGCAAACCUUACUGUGAGAAUGGCUAGACUGUAACUCCCAGCAUUAUUCACCACAACAUUUCUCAGGCCAUAUGGCCUUACUGUCUUGGUCUGGCACUGACGUCAUCUCUGAGGCUCUCCUUCAACUGGAGAAGCUGCAAAGUAUGCCAUCUUGGAAUAUAAGCAAGGCUGGGCCUGACAUGUACUUAAACGGAAUCCAACCAGAGAAUACCAGGGACUGUAGCUCAAUGAGAUGGUUGGAGAGUGUCAUCGAAGCAACCAACAUGAACUUGACCCAACUCCAGGAGGCAGUGGAAGAUAGGAGGGCCUGGCAUGCUCUGGUCCACUGGUUCUUAACCUUGGGUUACUCAGGAGUUUUGGACUGCACCUCCCAGAAGCCUUCACCACCAACUGUGCUGGCUGGGGUUUCUGGGAGUUGCAGUUCAAAAACAUCCAAGUAACAAAGGUUAAGAACCACUGCUCUGGUCCAUGGGGUCACAAAGAGUCGGACACAUCUAAACGACUAAAUGACGACGACGUAGCUCAAUAGUAUAGUACAUAUACUACACUCCAAAUAAUGAAUAAUAAUUGUGUGUUGUCAAGUUAAUUCUGUCUUAUGGUGAAACUUUCUAGGGUUUUCUAGGUAGAGAGUACUCAGAAGAGGCUUACCAUUCCCUUCUUCUGGGGGCAUCCUGUGACUGUGCAGUUUGCCUAAGGAUACAUAGGCUGGCCCUUCUUCGAGAAGGCACAAUGUUUCCCAGCUUGGGGGUUGUGACACUCAAGGGGGUUGCAAGGGGUCUUCUGGGGGGUUGCAGGUCACUUUAUAUUUGUUGUAGCCCUUGUUAAAUAAUUUCUUCCUUGACCUUUUGGAGCAGGAUAUUAAAGUGAGUGUGUAUGUUUAUGUAUGUAUAUAUACAGUAUAUGAGAAACAGCCCCAUUAAAAAUGCCUUUUUAUGCAAACGUAGUGGUGGAGUUGCAAUUAUUUGGCUAUUAUAAAAGGGGGUCAUUACUCAAAAAAGGUUGGCAGCUACUGAUCUAAAGCAAAGAAGAUGGCACGGGUCUGCACCAUGCAUUAAAUUCCUGAGCUUUUUAGAAAGUUUUUUAUGCAAUGCAAAGGUUUCCUGUGUGAGUAAAUGCGCUUUCCUGAUACUCAAGGGUAGUGGUUGCAGUACCAUAAUUGUGGUUAGGCUAAUAACCUCAAGAGUGUCUGAAGGAAGCUUCCACUUCCUCUGAUUAGAAGCCUGUCAAGUGGUUUUCACAUCAGAUGUACAAUUUGACUGACAGACCAAGGAGGCAACUGGGCUAAUCUUAUUAAAGGAAGGUUUGGGCUGGUGAAAUAAAAUGGAACUUUUCAAGGUGAGGGGAAGCGCA